GACGUAGGGGGCGAGCGUUGUCCGGAAUUACUGGGCGUAAAGAGCACGUAGGCGGAUAAUUAAGUCAGGUGUGAAAGGCCGCAGCCCAACUGCGGGAUUGCACUUGAAACUGAAUAUCUUGAGGGCAGGAGAGGUUAGUGGAAUUCCUGGUGUAGCGGUGAAAUGCGUAGAAAUCAGGAGGAACACCAGUGGCGAAGGCGACUAACUGGACUGACCCUGACGCUGAGGUGCGAAAGCGUGGGUAG
RNAcentral lists this ribosomal RNA (245 nucleotides) under uncultured Syntrophomonas sp. RNAcentral's name for it is "partial 16S ribosomal RNA". It matches the Rfam family "Bacterial small subunit ribosomal RNA", at positions 524 to 768 of the family's 1533-position model. The record is from RNAcentral. Lineage: Bacteria; Bacillati; Bacillota; Clostridia; Eubacteriales; Syntrophomonadaceae.